UAGACCAUGAAGAACAAACUACAAGAAAGGGGCAAAGCUGACGUCUAUAAAGGACUUUUUUCACACGUUUGAGUCAAACUCUGAUACAGCAACAUACUGCGGUUGAAGCCUAUUCAGGAUGGACUUUGGAGACAAGGACAAGAUGACCAGUAUACACAUUAGAAGGACAAUGAUGAAACUCUGUCUYUUAUAUGAAGAAAAUCUAUCUGUUAUUCCAAACAGCUUUGUCUCUUGCUGUUGUUGUCACUCAGUCUGAUGUUUGGAGCACCUUCKCUCUUGGAGACACAGCUGAUUUGGAAUGCUUCAUCACUGUGUAUGACGAUGGCAGGACAAGCCCCAGAUGUUAUCUCUGUAUUAUCACUGCAAUUUUCUUCGGAGAGUUUGACAAAAAGCUUUGCUUUGCUACAAGGGAGAGUGGCAKCAGAUUUGUGGAAAAGCUGCAGAUUCCAGGACCCAGCAUGUUGUACAGUAGUCUGUGUCUGAGUCAGUCUAGCCAGGAGACUCUGUGACUUUGAACUGUAUAAUACACACGGAGACCUGUGCAGGAGAACACAUUGUCUAUUGGUUCAGACAUGGCUCAGGAG
Molecule: long non-coding RNA, 584 nt
Organism: Salvelinus sp. IW2-2015
Lineage: Eukaryota; Metazoa; Chordata; Actinopteri; Salmoniformes; Salmonidae
Source: RefSeq, a predicted model, not a curated record